RNAcentral lists this long non-coding RNA (2102 nucleotides) under Malus domestica (apple). RNAcentral describes it as "long non-coding RNA (MDOM_LNC012638)". The record is from RNAcentral. Lineage: Eukaryota; Viridiplantae; Streptophyta; Magnoliopsida; Rosales; Rosaceae.
GUGAAUGCUUUGGAAUACUAUUGCAAACUACGAAUGGCUUGAUCUCGGUUUAGGGUACGUAGGCAGUCUAACGAGACGUUAGAUGCAGCCAUAUAAUAAAUGAGAAUGAAUAAUCGAGACAAUAGCCUAGUUUGGGAAUGGGGCAUUACAGUUUAUGCAUUAUAGACCAUUUGUUUAUAUGUUUAUAUAUCUGGAAAUAUUAUGAUAUGUUGAAUUUAGACUUACAUCCUGGUAUUUCCAUCUGUAUAUUCCUUGCACAUGAUUAUUGUGAAUGCUUCGAAGUGCAAAGGUGAACGUAGGACUCACAGGUAAGUUCAAGUAAGUUCAGGUAAGCAUACGGUAUUAUUUGAAUUAAUGGGGUUAUGGUAUGACUACAUUUAUGUUUUUUAAGCAACUCUGACAUUGUCGUACAAGUUGCAAUAAUAGGCAACUUCGGCAUUGUCGUAUAGGUUGCUUAUGAAUCAUACAUGUUGUAUUAGAUGCAUUUAAAGCUUUUAAACCUGCACCCCGGUGUUAGUGCUUCCGCUUAUGGCCAGGGCACAGUCCUUCACGUAAUGUUCACCUCCUGCACCAUACGCUCACCUUGAAUUCGAGAUAGGUGCACAUGCCUGUCGUACAAACCACUAUAGAUGGUUCUGACUCGUAGGUGACUCUUCACGUGAUCGUAGCACUUGAGCGUAUUCAUUUACACCCAGUCCUGUCGUACAGACCACUAUAGUGGUUUUGAUUCGUGUGCAGGCGUAAUGCUGUAUAGGUCACUAUAGGUGACUCCGGCUAGAUUGAUUAAUGAUAUAUGAUUAUGUCGUAUAGGUCACUAUAGGUGACUCCGACUAGAUUGAUUGAUGAUAUAUGAUUAUGCCGUAUAGGUCACUAUAGGUGACUUCGGCUAGAUUGAUUGAUGAGAUAUGAAUAUUCCAUAUAGGUCAUUAUAGGUGACUCCGGCGAGAUUGAUUGAUGAGAUAUGAAUAUGUCGUACAGGUCACUAGAGGUGACUUCUGACUUAUGAGCUAGCAUUGAUUGAUGAUAUAUGAUUACAGUCAUACAGGUCACUAGAGGUGACUCCGACUUAUGAGCUAGUAUAUGUGAUACGAUAUGCAAUGAGCUAGCAUAUGUGAUGAAAUAUAUGAUGAGCUAGCAUAUGUGAUGAACUAGCAUAUGUGAUACGAUAUGUGAUGAGCUAACAUAUUGAAGAAAUAUGGGUAAGUCAUACAGGUCACUAUACGUGAUUCCGACUUAUAAGUUAACAUCGAUUGAUGAGAUAUGGGUACAGUCGUACAAGUCACCAUAAGUGACUCCGACUUGCGUACUAGUAUGGGUUGUUAAUCACAUGAUUAUUGAUAUUGCUGAUGAGAUGCUGUGUUGUAGUAUAUUUAUGAACUUUUUGGAAACUAUACAAUUGUUGUAUCGAAGGGUUAUAAUGUUUUAUAUGGUUCUACUAAACUUUUAUCUCCAGGGCCACUCACUCUUGUUUUGUUUUCACCCUCCAUUUUUUAUUAGCUGAGCUUUCUUAUCAUUGAAGAUUCUUGGCGAUUCUUACUAUUAGAGAUUCUUUCAGGGGUACGAUUAUUAAUCCCUUCUACUGUACUUACUUAUGAUCUAACGUUGCGUGUGAAGUGGGUUCCUUCCCGCUCACCAGCGCACUCUGGUAUUUAGGCACUCUUAGGUUUAAAUUUAUUCACAUUUUUCCACAUCUUCAUACUUUAUGGCUUCGUCACCCUCCAGGUGUCGGCCAGCACAGCUCGAUUUAGAGUCCUAGUGGACAUCCUGGGUCGGGGUGUGUCAAUGAGUAUAAAAGAAAUAAAUACAUUUAAUUAAAUAACUGGACUCACUCCUAAAAACACUCUAUGAUUAUUUUGGACCUGGAUCUCAAAGCCCCUAAAUUAUACCUCCAACAGUAAUUACCUCGCACGCAUAGUAUGUAUGAUAUAAAUCUAGAGUAAAUCAUACCUCUUUUUUUCUUUAGGUUUGCCAGGCAUGACUCCAGUCUCCUAUGGUAAAUGGUAUAUCCUGUUUAUACCAUACUUAGGGCCUCUCUAUUCAGAUCUCAUACAAACACUUGGGGGACUUAAAUGUAAUUAUGUAAUAAAGGAAGGGGCAAAUAU